Molecule: ribosomal RNA, 520 nt
Filed under: uncultured Glomus
Lineage: Eukaryota; Fungi; Glomeromycota; Glomeromycetes; Glomerales; Glomeraceae
Description: SSU rRNA
Rfam family: Eukaryotic small subunit ribosomal RNA
Source: RNAcentral
AGCAGCCGCGGUAAUUCCAGCUCCAAUAGCGUAUAUUAAAGUUGUUGCAGUUAAAAAGCUCGUAGUUGAAUUUCGGGAUCAGUACGCUGGUCGUGCCUUCGGUAUGUACUGGUGUUACUGGUUCCUACCUUCUGACGAACCGUCAUGUCAUUAAUUUGGUGUGGCGGGGAAUCAGGACUGUUACUUUGAAAAAAUUAGAGUGUUUAAAGCAGGCUCGCGCUUGAAUACAUUAGCAUGGAAUAAUGAAAUAGGACGUUCGAUCCUAUUUUGUUGGUUUCUAGGAUUGACGUAAUGAUUAAUAGGGAUAGUUGGGGGCAUUAGUAUUCAAUUGUCAGAGGUGAAAUUCUUGGAUUUAUUGAAGACUAACUACUGCGAAAGCAUUUGCCAAGGAUGUUUUCAUUAAUCAAGAACGAAAGUUAGGGGAUCGAAGACGAUCAGAUACCGUCGUAGUCUUAACCAUAAACUAUGCCGACUAGGGAUCGGAUGAUGUUAUUUUUAAUGACUCAUUCGGCGCCUUAAC